GCAGUAGCCGCGGGAAUACGAAGGGUGCAAGCGUUACUCGGAAUUACUGGGCGUAAAGCGUGCGUAGGCGGUGAGUUAAGUCUGCUGUGAAAUCCCCGGGCUCAACCUGGGAAUGGCAGUGGAUACUGGCUCGCUAGAGUGUGUCAGAGGAUGGUGGAAUUCCCGGUGUAGCGGUGAAAUGCGUAGAGAUCGGGAGGAACAUCAGUGGCGAAGGCGGCCAUCUGGGACAACACUGACGCUGAGGAGCGAAAGCAUGGGGAGCGAGCAGGAUUAGAUACCCCUGUAGUCCCUGUCUCUUAUAA
Molecule: ribosomal RNA, 302 nt
Filed under: uncultured bacterium
Lineage: Bacteria
Description: partial 16S ribosomal RNA
Rfam family: Bacterial small subunit ribosomal RNA
Source: RNAcentral